UACGAAGGGUGCAAGCGUUAAUCGGAAUUACUGGGCGUAAAGCGUGCGCAGGCGGUUAUGUAAGACAGUUGUGAAAUCCCCGGGCUCAACCUGGGAACUGCAUCUGUGACUGCAUAGCUAGAGUACGGUAGAGGGGGAUGGAAUUCCGCGUGUAGCAGUGAAAUGCGUAGAUAUGCGGAGGAACACCGAUGGCGAAGGCAAUCCCCUGGACCUGUACUGACGCUCAUGCACGAAAGCGUGGGGAGCAAACAGG
RNAcentral lists this ribosomal RNA (253 nucleotides) under uncultured bacterium. RNAcentral's name for it is "partial 16S ribosomal RNA". It matches the Rfam family "Bacterial small subunit ribosomal RNA", at positions 524 to 776 of the family's 1533-position model. The record is from RNAcentral.